Molecule: transfer RNA, 76 nt
Filed under: Podarcis lilfordi (Lilford's wall lizard)
Lineage: Eukaryota; Metazoa; Chordata; Lepidosauria; Squamata; Lacertidae
Description: tRNA.Lys
Source: RNAcentral
UGAGAUAGCUCAGUCGGUAGAGCAUUAGACUCUUAAUCUCAGGGUUGUGCGUUUGAGUCCUACGUUGGGGGAAAAG